UUAUAAAUGGUAAGAUGCUGUAUACCGUUAAGUUCAACACUGGAAAGUCCAAUGCUGUCUGGCCUUUUUCCAGAGUUCAUAGAACAGGAUCUGUGCACAAGCCUGCAGGGAAAGCCGUGUCAGCUCCCUUUGACUACAAAGAAAAACACUGAUUCUAUCAAAACACUUCUGAAAGAGCUUAUGGACCAUUUUCUUCAGUUACAACCAGAGAGAAAGAUUACAAAGUGCUCUAUAAGUAAGGUAAUGCUAUCCCAGUUACAUCAGUUGUCCUGAAAUAAUUCUUAGUAACACCUCCCUUCAUUUUCAAGUUUUGUGAUUUUCAUGAUGAACAUCUGGAAGAUUUCCUCUGUGUUUGAAAAUACAAAAGAACAGAAAGCCAAUGAUACACACCAAUCCUAGUUUAAGUCAACAAUGAAGGCUGGAUUGUUCUGGAGUCUCUGUGAAGAAUGAGUUUGAGAUAAACAUACUUCUUAAUUUCAUUGAAAAUGGAAUCAGAAGACUGAAGAUGAUCCCCAAUCAAGAAUGAAGAAAAUUGGAAACUGAGACAUGGAAUUCCAGUAUUUGUUAAUAUUCUUUCUUACAUAUUCUCCAUCCAUGGGAAAAAUUCUAAGAUCAUGCAUGAGAUUAUCAGUGUUGGUAAACUACUGCUACACUUCGAGGAAACAAGUGAGGUAUCUUUGUAAGGAUUUGGAGACUGCCAACGAGGAUAGAAAUUUGAAAACCCAUGUGAAUUUUAAUCUGCGUUGAACACAAAUUUGAACAUGUUUCUUCAAGUUUUUUGUAAAAUAGACUCAAGGUACAAAUUUUAUUUUUUGUUUUAUUUAAAUUAUAAUCAUUAACAUAUGGAAACCAAGAGAAGAGUCAAACGGUGAAGAGAAUUUUGUAACAUGAGAUGUUUGAUAUUCUGCCAUUUUCUGUUAUAUCACUCAUUACUUAGAGGCCAGCAGCCUGACUGGCUUCUGUCCGUAGCUAACAAGUACAGGCAUUUCACCUGGAUGCCCUACUUGCAAAAUCAUCUAAAGGCACAACUUUCAACAACAGUGUUGAUCACAAAAUACAUUUCAAUUGUUUUGCAAACAAACUUUCUUCCGAUUAAUAAUUAAACAGAGGAACAGCUUGCAGUAUAUGCUUGGAAAUAAUUUCAGUAUAUAUAGUGGGAAAUGACAAGCACAUAUGAAGAUGUGACUGAAGCCUGGUAACAUUUAAAUAUUCAGCUUUUCCUCUGUUACCUUGACUGGAGUAAAGUUGUUUCCCAAGGUAAAAACUAAGUGGUCUGCCGGCAUAUGGUCUAACCUCCAUUUGAGUGCUAAAAGCUGGAUACUGUUUUUGUGAAACAGAUGUUGUUGAGUGCAGCAAUGCACAACUGACUCUAGCUAACAGCUGGGAAUCCUUCGUGACCCAUAUAGCGAGAAAUAAACAUGGUCCUAUGCUUGGCAAAAGUGUAAGAAAGCAAAUUUCCAUUUGUUAAGAGCUUAUCAAAAUGAAGAAUAAAUGUUUUUAGCCAUAAACUGAUUUUAUUCACCAGAGUAAUCUUUCCAGCAGCUUAUGUGAUGGCCUCAUAAUAUCACAGGCACCCUUUGCCAGAUGAAGGCUGCAGUUGCACUGACAUAUAGUACAGAUGGAAAAUAAACAUCUGCCUCAAUCAGCAGAGAAGACCAAGGACAAGGUUGACGAAUAUUAUCUGGCAUGACUAUCUUUGUGGGGAAGCAUAUAAAUGUUACAGGACCAAAACCACUGGCAUCGUCUGGUGUUGUCCUUAUGUGGUUACUGACCAUGAAGAGAGAUGAUUAGUAUGCGCUCUCCAAGGAGGAGUGCUGCAGAUGCUCAGGAUGCUAUGACUCCAGCUCUCCGGGAUCUGCUUUGCUGUAGCCACACCAUACGAGUCUCAGAGCAAUUCCAUUUUAUUUUUAUUCAUGGUUCGGCUGCAUUUAUUGUCCUGAAAGUUUCUUUUCUUGUCAUUGGAAGUGACAAGUGAGGGGAGGAGGGAAAAAGAAGACGAGCUAAUUUGGAAAAAGAUUUAAAAAACCCUUUUUUCAUAGCCACAGGAAAAUGUCAACAAAGACAACUCCAAAUACAAACGAUUUCCUUCCCAUGGGGACUAAACUCGAGCGUUACAGUUGUGAAGUACUACAUUUUAUCUGCACAGGCCAACCUCACUUUGCAGCUCCUGGGUAGAAUAGCAUAGACUCUUAGAGAAAGACACACAGGCACAUCCACACAUGGACAUGCACACACACACACACACACACACAUGCACACACACGCAUGCACACACACACACAGAUGGACACACACACACAUGCUGCCGUCCCAGCACUAAGUUGCUUUUGUCCUCACUGCAACCAAAUGAUUCAUGUGGCACAAAUAAUAUGACAGAUGUAGCUUUAAAAAUUCAGUUUUAUUGCAAGUAUCUUUUUGACUGAACCUUCUUUCAUUUUCUGGUAUCUCUUGUGACCAUAUGGAGUUUAGAUGGCAGUGAAUUCCCUUCUACUAACUCAAACCCUUUUCUGCACCUGGGCACAAUUUUGGACAAAGAAGUAAAGAAAAUGGAAAAAAGUAUCAGACUUAAUAUUCAGCUUGAAUUACAAGCAAAAAACAUACCUUUUCCUUUUUGUAGAGAAACAAUUUCGGGACUACAGUUUUGUCAGAAUUUUAUUUGUAAAAGCAGUGUGCUAGAGAAUUCUGUCUAUAGAUUUUGGUUAUUACUUUCACUUGAAUGACAGAAAGAAAUAAAAGAAAUUUGCUUAGAUUCUUAGAUUUUAAUAAUCUAUUAGAAGCAAUUAUAAUAAUAACUUCUGUUUUACUUCAAAGUUUAGAAGGAGAAUGAUUGUCAAACGUCAGAACCCCAACACCAAUUUGCUGUUUACUAUGUAUCAAAUACUGUACUUAGUUCUUUAAACACACUAAUGUUUAAUAUUCAUAAAGUCCUGAAUGAAUUAGAUACCAUAAGCAUUAUCUGCAUUUUACAAAGGAGAGUUUUGAAACAGAAGUAAUUCAUCCAAAGUCACACUGCUAAUAGUGGUAGAACUAGCCUUUGCUCUGAGGGGGUUGACUCUAUGCUGCAGAUCAUGUUGCUAUGUGUAGUUUAAGAAAUUAAAGCUAGCUUGAUAAUAAAUAUCAACAAAAGUUCUUUUCAGUUACCUCAUUAAUAUGAACUGUAUUUGGUGUAAUACUCAAAAAGGUAUUUCAUUUAAUUAUUUUAUUACAUUAGAUUUUAGUUGUUCACAAAAGUAAC
Chinchilla lanigera (long-tailed chinchilla) is the source of this 3235-nucleotide long non-coding RNA. RefSeq lists it as uncharacterized. NCBI's taxonomy places the organism in Eukaryota, Metazoa, Chordata, Mammalia, Rodentia, Chinchillidae. The transcript has 4 exons. The record is from RefSeq and is a predicted model, not a curated record.